Molecule: ribosomal RNA, 253 nt
Filed under: uncultured bacterium
Lineage: Bacteria
Description: partial 16S ribosomal RNA
Rfam family: Bacterial small subunit ribosomal RNA
Source: RNAcentral
UACGUAGGCAGCAAGCGUUGUUCGGAAUUACUGGGCGUAAAGAGUGUGUAGGCGGUGCUCUAAGUUUGGUGUGAAAUCUCCCGGCUUAACUGGGAGGGUGCGCUAGAAACUGGAAUGCUAGAGGAUGGGAGAGGUAAGCGGAAUUCCUGGUGUAGCGGUGAAAUGCGUAGAUAUCAGGAGGAACACCUGUGGUGUAGACAGCUUACUGGACCAUUUCUGACGCUGAGACACGAAAGCGUGGGUAGCAAACAGG